GAUGAAGAACGCAGCGAAAUGCGAUACUUGGGGUGAAUUGCAGAAUCCCGUGAACCAUCGAGUCUUUGAACGCAAGUUGCGCCCGAAGCCAUUAGGCCGAGGGCACGCCUGCCUGGGCGUCACACGUCGUUGCCCCCCCAUCUACUCCUUCGGGAUUGCGGGGGGCGGAUGAUGGCCUCUCGUGCGCCUCGUCGCGCGGUUGGCCUAAAUGCCAAGUCCUCGGCGACGCACGCCACGACAAUCGGUGGUUGCGAAACCUCGGUUGCCUGUCGUGUGCGGUCGUCGCGCAUCGAGGGCUCGAAAAAAUUGCCGGGCUUCGGCUCGACUUUCAACGCGACCCCAGGUCAGGCGGGGUUACCCGCUGAAUUUAAGCAUAUCAAUAAGCGGAGGA
RNAcentral lists this unclassified non-coding RNA (391 nucleotides) under soil metagenome. RNAcentral describes it as "partial contains 5.8S ribosomal RNA, internal transcribed spacer 2, and large subunit ribosomal RNA". The stretch from base 1 to 122 matches the Rfam family "5.8S ribosomal RNA", at positions 35 to 154 of the family's 154-position model. The record is from RNAcentral.